RNAcentral lists this ribosomal RNA (253 nucleotides) under uncultured bacterium. RNAcentral's name for it is "partial 16S ribosomal RNA". It matches the Rfam family "Bacterial small subunit ribosomal RNA", at positions 524 to 776 of the family's 1533-position model. The record is from RNAcentral.
UACGUAGGGUGCGAGCGUUGUCCGGAAUUAUUGGGCGUAAAGAGCUUGUAGGCGGUUUGUCGCGUCUGCUGUGAAAAUCCGGGGCUCAACCCCGGGCCUGCAGCCGAUACGGGCAGACUAGAAUUCGGUAGGGGAGACUGGAAUUCCUGGUGUAGCGGUGAAAUGCGCAGAUAUCAGGAGGAACACCGGUGGCGAAGGCGGGUCUCUGGGCCGAUAUUGACGCUGAGGAGCGAAAGCGUGGGGAGCGAACAGG